Molecule: ribosomal RNA, 301 nt
Filed under: uncultured bacterium
Lineage: Bacteria
Description: partial 16S ribosomal RNA
Rfam family: Bacterial small subunit ribosomal RNA
Source: RNAcentral
CAGCCGCCGCGGUAAUACGAAGGGGGCUAGCGUUGCUCGGAAUGACUGGACGUAAAGGGCGCGUAGGCGGCGAUCAAAGUCAGGCGUGAAAUUCCUGGGCUCAACCUGGGGGCUGCGCUUGAUACUUGGUUGCUUGAGUGGGGAAGAGGGUCGUGGAAUUCCCAGUGUAGAGGUGAAAUUCGUAGAUAUUGGGAAGAACACCGGUGGCGAAGGCGGCGACCUGGUCCUUGACUGACGCUGAGGCGCGAAAGCGUGGGGAGCAAACAGGAUUAGAUACCCCGGUAGUCCCUGUCUCUUAUAC